GUGCACCUGUAGCUCAGCUGGAUAGAGCAUCGGCCUUCUAAGCCGAGGGUCGGGGGUUCGAGUCCCUCCUGGCACA
RNAcentral lists this transfer RNA (76 nucleotides) under Clostridia bacterium. Its description in RNAcentral is "tRNA-Arg". It matches the Rfam family "tRNA". From Rfam's summary of the family: Transfer RNA (tRNA) molecules are approximately 80 nucleotides in length. Their secondary structure includes four short double-helical elements and three loops (D, anti-codon, and T loops). The record is from RNAcentral. Lineage: Bacteria; Bacillati; Bacillota; Clostridia.